Agrilus planipennis (emerald ash borer) is the source of this 1956-nucleotide long non-coding RNA. RefSeq lists it as uncharacterized. Lineage: Eukaryota; Metazoa; Arthropoda; Insecta; Coleoptera; Buprestidae. The record is from RefSeq and is a predicted model, not a curated record. The transcript is spliced from 5 exons.
UCGACGAGUUUUCGGUAGUUAGUCUACCUACCCCUAUAGUCAACUAUCCCCGGUCUCCCCUAAAUUGCAGAGUAAUAAUUUAGUUCUUUUCCGUAAAUAUUUCCCGAAAAGAAAAAAAACUUUAGGAUUUCAUUCCCACCACUAAUGCUGGUGGACGGGCAGUCCCUCCGGACUACAUCGGAAGGUAGGGCGGAAGGCUCUUUCCAGCCCCUUCGGAUGAGAAAUAUGAGACGGAUGAAAUGAAGACAGAAGAGAAUGAAAGAUAAUCUGUGGAAUAUUACUGCCCCAACAUUUGCGUAGAAAAUCACAGGAAAACUUGGACCACUUCUUCUCUUAUCGAUCGAUAUCGUGUUCUUGGCUUUCUUCCCUUUCCUUUUCCUUCUUUUUUUGUCAGAAGUUUCCGAUCAAAACCUAAUCGUAUGCCCAUUAAGGCAGUCCGUACACAUCGAUCUGACAUCGUGUACCUUUCUCUAGGUUCCACAUUCAAUUGAAUAUUGCUUUAAUUGACUUUUACCAACGUUCAAUAUAAGGAGGAUAGUAGGAACGUGUGUUUUUAAACAGUUAUUUGUGAAAGUUUUCUCAACUGUGCUGUUCGAAGUUGGGAUCUACAAUUUGCAUGUUAAAGCAGAAUGCGAGAAGUAUCAGCUAGGAUAAAUAACUUAUUGGCAUUCCUUUGUAUGCUCAUAGAGCUGUUUGGGGAUGUUUCUGAAAAUGUAUUAGUAAUGGUAUUAACGCAAUGAUCCUCAAAGUGUGCGCCCCAAAAAUUUAGAAAUCGCAUCGCGGAAAACUCCGAUUAUUUAGGGAACUGCAAACCAAAAGAGAACAUCUGUAUUAACGAUUUGGAAUAACACGAAUGAUUUAAUGUCCUAGCUAAGAUUCUCUAAAGAUCCUAGCCACAGCAACCGGCGAACCGUUAGAUAAACUAAAAAUAUAAAGAACCCAUGCUGUCAUGAUUCGAGUCUAAUUCAGAAGAAUUUUUUGGUAUUUAUUGAUAUUGACUAUCUUAAUAAAUGGUUUGAUUUUGCUGAAAGAAAUUGGUUAUUCAAAAUCUAAAAAUAGGAGGUUGCUACUCUCUAUUCCCGCCAGUUUGGCAUUCACAAAAAGGACAUUUUCGGUUAUGAAUUCGAAAAGAGAUUCUUCCAUCUUCAAUGCUGGAUGUGGACUCUAUUUCAGUGAAAGGAUCUCUGAAGAAGUUCGCCACUUGUUCUGGCGAAACGUUAGAAAGCAACUGUAACCAACGACGGCUUUUAGACCCGAAUCAAACCAGCAUCAGGCCACGAAUGUCUUUACCAAUUUACCAAAAGGACCCAAUACAUUUUCUAAAGACUGGUUGGUCCUCCAGUAUGCAGGAGUUGCAAUAUUUCUAAGAAUUAUUCAGUUCAUGUAGAUGCAGCCGUAUAUUAUGUUGGAUAAUUCUGGAAAAGCGCCAUGGAUUAUGGGAUAUGCGGUUCAAAGAUGGUCUCAAGCACGUGAGAGCGACCUACAGCCUGCGAUGAUGGCAUUUUUGUACUAUAAAUACCAUGCUUAUAAAUGUAAUCCUGAAUUAUGACGGGAGAAAGAAAAAUAACCUGGUUCUUGUCCCGGAAAAUUUGUUACCUUAUUCACUGUCUACAAAACUUGGACAAUUUUCUUUUCUUCCGAUGAAAAACGAUGUGCUCCGCUCCUUAUUUUCGCGUGCGACGAAAGGUCAAACUUGCCUACUACGAAACCCUAACAACCGGAUCCAAAUGUGAGUUAUGGAAUACGUUGGAAAAACAGGCAACUAAUAGAUUUCAGAGCGACAGUUACCAUACACUUAAUAGCUACAAAACUAUCCUGGAAUUACAGAAACUAAGAUAAUGCGCCAAUCGUAAAUUUAAUUUCUCACAAUGCUUGACUGUUUUAUUAAUAGAAUUACUGUAUCAUUAUGUUUAACAUAUAAGUUAAUUGUUGCAUAAAAUAAAAAUGUCAUGUUUU